GACGAACGCUGGCGGCGUGCUUAACACAUGCAAGUCGAACGGAAAGGCCCUGCUUUUGUGGGGUGCUCGAGUGGCGAACGGGUGAGUAACACGUGAGUAACCUGCCCUUGACUUUGGGAUAACUUCAGGAAACUGGGGCUAAUACAGGAUAGGAGCUCCUGCUGCAUGGUGGGGGUUGGAAAGUUUCGGCGGUUGGGGAUGGACUCGCGGCUUAUCAGCUUGUUGGUGGGGUAGUGGCUGACCACGGCUUUGACGGGUAGCCGGCCUGAGAGGGUGACCGGCCACAUUGGCCCUGGGGUACGGCCCGUAGGGAUACGGGAGGCAGGAGUGGGGAAUAUAGCGAAAUGGGCGGAGGGCGGAAGGAGCAACGCCGCGUGGGGGAUCACUGCCUUCGGGUUGUAAACCGCGUUCGCGUGUCUCGAAGCGUGAGUAACGUUAAUGGGUAAAGAAGCACCGCUUACCUCGUU
RNAcentral lists this ribosomal RNA (467 nucleotides) under uncultured bacterium. RNAcentral describes it as "partial 16S ribosomal RNA". It matches the Rfam family "Bacterial small subunit ribosomal RNA", at positions 28 to 507 of the family's 1533-position model. The record is from RNAcentral.